Homo sapiens (human) is the source of this 240-nucleotide long non-coding RNA. Ensembl annotates it as SPON1 antisense RNA 1. Its record names the gene SPON1-AS1. NCBI's taxonomy places the organism in Eukaryota, Metazoa, Chordata, Mammalia, Primates, Hominidae. The record is from Ensembl.
CAUAGCUGUACGCUAUACGUAAUGAUCCCACUUAACAGGUCCAAGACUUAGCCCAGUGCAGAACCCUGCCUGUCCUGGAGACCACCCAGGCUGACACUUGGGAGCCAUACCUGGGAACUGCUCCCCUUCAGACUCUUCCUUCAGCUGCUCACUCCGCCGGCUCUCUCGGGCCUCCCUCCAGCGUAGCUUUUGGAUGGAUGGAUUUCGAAGGCAUUUUCGGAUGCGGCACUUUUUUCGCUG